AGCGAACGCUGGCGGCAGGCCUAACACAUGCAAGUCGAACGAACCUUUCGGGGUUAGUGGCGGACGGGUGAGUAACACGUGGGAACGUGCCUUUAGGUUCGGAAUAACUCAGGGAAACUUGUGCUAAUACCGAAUGUGCCCUUCGGGGGAAGGAUUACUCGCCUUUAGAGGGGCCUUGGACUGAUUAGCUAGUUGGUUAGGGAAAUGGCUCACCAAGGCGAGGUGCAGUAGCUGUUCUGAGAGGAUGAUUAGCCACAUUGGGACUGAGACACGGCCCAAACUCCUACGGGAGGCAGCAGUGGGGAAUCUUGCGCAAUGGGCGAAAGCCUGACGCAGCCAUGCCGCGUGAAUGAUGAAGGUCUUAGGAUUGUAAAAUUCUUUCAGCGGGGACGAUAAUGACGGUACCCGGAGAAGAAGCCCCGGCUAACUUCGUG
This 434-nucleotide ribosomal RNA is filed under the name uncultured bacterium. RNAcentral describes it as "partial 16S ribosomal RNA". It matches the Rfam family "Bacterial small subunit ribosomal RNA", at positions 29 to 507 of the family's 1533-position model. The record is from RNAcentral.